RNAcentral lists this ribosomal RNA (504 nucleotides) under uncultured bacterium. RNAcentral describes it as "partial 16S ribosomal RNA". It matches the Rfam family "Bacterial small subunit ribosomal RNA", at positions 30 to 523 of the family's 1533-position model. The record is from RNAcentral.
AUUGAACGCUGGCGGCAGGCCUAACACAUGCAAGUCGAACGGUAGCACAGAGAGCUUGCUCUCGGGUGACGAGUGGCGGACGGGUGAGUAAUGUCUGGGAAACUGCCCGAUGGAGGGGGAUAACUACUGGAAACGGUAGCUAAUACCGCAUAACGUCUUCGGACCAAAGGGGGGGACCUUCGGGCCUCACACCAUCGGAUGUGCCCAGAUGGGAUUAGCUAGUAGGUGGGGUAAUGGCUCACCUAGGCGACGAUCCCUAGCUGGUCUGAGAGGAUGACCAGCCACACUGGAACUGAGACACGGUCCAGACUCCUGCGGGAGGCAGCAGUGGGGAAUAUUGCACAAUGGGCGCAAGCCUGAUGCAGCCAUGCCGCGUGUAUGAAGAAGGCCUUCGGGUUGUAAAGUACUUUCAGCGGGGAGGAAGGCGGUGAAGUUAAUAGCUUCAUCGAUUGACGUUACCCGCAGAAGAAGCACCGGCUAACUCCGUGCCAGCCGCCGCCGUAA